This 468-nucleotide ribosomal RNA is filed under the name uncultured bacterium. RNAcentral's name for it is "partial 16S ribosomal RNA". It matches the Rfam family "Bacterial small subunit ribosomal RNA", at positions 28 to 507 of the family's 1533-position model. The record is from RNAcentral.
GAUGAACGCUGGCGGCGUGCUUAACACAUGCAAGUCGAACGGAAAGGCCCAAGCUUGCUUGGGUACUCGAGUGGCGAACGGGUGAGUAACACGUGGGUGAUCUGCCCUGCACUUCGGGAUAAGCCUGGGAAACUGGGUCUAAUACCGGAUAGGACGAUGGUUUGGAUGCCAUUGUGGAAAGUUUUUUCGGUGUGGGAUGAGCUCGCGGCCUAUCAGCUUGUUGGUGGGGUAAUGGCCUACCAAGGCGUCGACGGGUAGCCGGCCUGAGAGGGUGUACGGCCACAUUGGGACUGAGAUACGGCCCAGACUCCUACGGGAGGCAGCAGUGGGGAAUGUUGCACAAUGGGCGCAAGCCUGAUGCAGCGACGCCGCGUGGGGGAUGACGGCCUUCGGGUUGUAAACUCCUUUCGCUAGGGACGAAGCGUUUUUGUGACGGUACCUGGAGAAGAAGCACCGGCUAACUACGUG